AGUUAAAAAGCUAUUAAGAAUUAGCCCAAUGUCUUGAAAACAAUGUGAAAGAAGUUUAAAUCUUCUAUUAACUU
Molecule: transfer RNA, 74 nt
Filed under: Apilitermes longiceps
Lineage: Eukaryota; Metazoa; Arthropoda; Insecta; Blattodea; Termitidae
Description: tRNA-Ser
Source: RNAcentral